GGAGGAUCCAAGCGUUAUCCGGAUUUAUUGGGUUUAAAGGGUGCGUAGGCGGCAGAUUAGGUUAGAGGUGAAAUUCCGAGGCUCAACCUUGGCACUGCUUCUGAUACUGGUUUGCUAGCGAGUAGAUGCUGUAGGCGGAAUGUGUGGUGUAGCGGUGAAAUGCAUAGAGAUCACACAGAACACCGAUUGCGAAGGCAGCUUACAAAUCUAUAUCGGACGCUGAGGCACGAAAGCGUGGGGAGCAAACAGGACUAGAUACCCUGGUAGUCCACGCAGUAAACGAUGAUAACUCGUUGUCGGCGAUAUACAGUCGGUGACCAAGCGAAAGCGAUAAGUUAUCCACCUGGGGAGUACGUUCGCAAGAAUG
RNAcentral lists this ribosomal RNA (367 nucleotides) under uncultured bacterium. RNAcentral describes it as "bacterial SSU rRNA". It matches the Rfam family "Bacterial small subunit ribosomal RNA", at positions 527 to 896 of the family's 1533-position model. The record is from RNAcentral.